Molecule: ribosomal RNA, 424 nt
Filed under: Verrucomicrobiota bacterium
Lineage: Bacteria; Pseudomonadati; Verrucomicrobiota
Description: Verrucomicrobia bacterium partial 16S ribosomal RNA
Rfam family: Bacterial small subunit ribosomal RNA
Source: RNAcentral
UGAGGAAUAUUGGUCAAUGGGCGAGAGCCUGAACCAGCCAAGUAGCGUGCAGGAUGAUGGCCCUAUGGGUUGUAAACUGCUUUUAUAUGGGAAUAAAGUGAGGGACGUGUCCCUUAUUGCAUGUACCAUACGAAUAAGGACCGGCUAAUUCCGUGCCAGCAGCCGCGGUAAUACGGAAGGUCCAGGCGUUAUCCGGAUUUAUUGGGUUUAAAGGGAGCGUAGGCUGUUUGUUAAGCGUGUUGUGAAAUGUAAGAGCUCAACUUUUAGAUUGCAGCGCGAACUGGCAGACUUGAGUGCGCACAACGUAGGCGGAAUUCAUGGUGUAGCGGUGAAAUGCUUAGAUAUCAUGACGAACUCCGAUUGCGAAGGCAGCUUACGGGAGCGCAACUGACGCUAAAGCUCGAAGGUGCGGGUAUCGAACAGG